CCUACGGGUGGCAGCAGUGAGGAAUAUUGGUCAAUAGCCGGAAGGCUGAACCAGCCAAGCCGCGUGAGGGAGGAAGGCGCAGAGCGUCGCAGACCUCUUUUGCCGGGGGACAAAAGGCCGGACUCGUCCGGUCCUGAGGGUACCCGGAGAAAAAGCAUCGGCUAACUCCGUGCCAGCAGCCGCGGUAAAACGGAGGAUGCGAGCGUUAUCCGGAUUGAGUGGGUGUACAGGGUGCGCAGGCGGGCCUUUAAGCCGGCGGGGAAACCGCGGGGCUCACCCCCGCCGAGCCGUCGGAACUGGGGGCCUUGAGUGCGGCGGCGGCAUGCGGAAUUCGCGGUGUAGCGGUGAAAUGC
RNAcentral lists this ribosomal RNA (353 nucleotides) under uncultured bacterium. Its description in RNAcentral is "partial 16S ribosomal RNA". It matches the Rfam family "Bacterial small subunit ribosomal RNA", at positions 338 to 689 of the family's 1533-position model. The record is from RNAcentral.